RNAcentral lists this long non-coding RNA (1182 nucleotides) under Lathyrus oleraceus (garden pea). RNAcentral describes it as "Pisum sativum (pea) long non-coding RNA (PSAT_LNC020667)". Lineage: Eukaryota; Viridiplantae; Streptophyta; Magnoliopsida; Fabales; Fabaceae. The record is from RNAcentral.
UAUUUGAGACACUCCUUGCAAUAUCUAAAUGGUCUUCAACAUUUUCAAUUGAAAUACAAUCCCCGGGAUCUGGAAAUGAUGUCACUAAAUUGUCAUCAGGUCGAACACUAGUUGUGUGGCUUAAAAGUUCUGAGCUGCAUACAUUAUUUCCUUUACUACUAUCAUCGUUUCCUAGUUUUUCUUUGUCAACAAAAGUUGAAUCGAUAGGAGAAGCUUGAAUUAAAUCUAUCAUUGUAUUUUCUGAAGCUUGAUAUUCAUGCAGAACUUAAGGUAUAUCCUCCAUAGGGCUAUAUUCUGUGUUUGCGGAAGUUUCUCGAUUUGCAAGACCUACUUCAUGGUGAGAACGGUUUGAAGUUAUAGAGAAAAUGAACCAGCGGUGCUUGGAGGCUUAAUCCUUAAGUCAUGUCCGCAGUCUGCAUCCAAUUUCCGGCCACUCAACUGCCUGUGCAUAUGAAACUCUGUUUGUUUAGUAGAGCUAAAAUCAGUUGAUGAUGGUGCAAAAUAACUGCCAGGUCUCGUAGAGCUUCUUAUACUGUUUAAAAUUGUCUCUUGAAAGAGACAGGUCAUCAUAAGAUAUAGUUGUGGCAGUAAAUGUCCUUGCCCGAACAAUAGGUCCUUUGUUGUUUCUGGACCUUUUCAACAAUACAGAAAUGCCGGUGGCUUCCAUGGGGUCCAUGUCCAUAUCUGGGAGAUCAUUGUAGUGAUCUAACAAUUGAUCCCCAAUUUCAUCAACUCCUGAUUGGUUCAUCUCUAGCCAGUUUGCAGGCUUAUGCUCACCUCCCUCCUUCAGUGAACUUGGAUUUGAACUGUGAUAAAUGCAUGUCUUCUGUACAAAAAGCAAACCAAAUUGUAAUGCAUGCCCAAUGAGAGCUGAAUGCCGACACUUUGCUAGUUCAUUUGCAAGGUAUCCAUGCAUUUCUUAAAAUUCUGAGGGGAAGACUAUGCGGCAUUAGGUAGAACUAUGUUCUCAUGCAUUAGGACUUUAGAAGGCAUUGUAAAUAUUAUUCUUAACAAUGUACUCCUUGAUCAUGCUGCCAAGGUUGUGCACACAUCUAACACAUCAUUCCUUUUCUUCUUUGCAGGUGUUCCUACAACAUGUCUUCAUAGGCGCGUUGAGCGAUCCGGUUCCUUGAGUAAGAAGCUCUUGGCUGCAAGUACCGCUGCAUAUUCCAAAUCUCAUGC